GAUCUGUUCAGAUUAGCCAUGCAUGUAUCAGUUCAGACCAUUUAUGGUUAAACCGCGAAUGGCUCAUUAAAUCAGCUUUGGUUUCUUAGACCUUACUUGUUACAUGGAUAACUAUAGUAAUUCUAGAGCUAAUACAUGCCAAUGUGCCGUUGGCGAAAGUCAUCGGCGGCUUGAUUAGAUCAAAGUCAACCGGUCUUUUGGCCGAUUACAUUGAUGAGUCUAGAUCACUUACCUAAUCUCAUGACCUCUGUGUUGGAGAUGUAUCUUUCAAGCAACUGACCUAUCAACUUUCGAUGGUGAGUGAUAUGCUCACCAUGGUGAUAACGGGUAACGGGGAAUCAGUGUUCGAUUCCGGAGAGGGAGCCUUAAAAACGGCUACCACUUCUAAGGAAGGCAGCAGGCGCGCAAAUUACCCACUCUCAGCGAGAGGAGGUAGUGACGAUAAAUAACAAUGCGAGACUCAAUUUGAGGCCUUGCAAUUGGAAUGAGUACAAUUUAAAUCCUUUAACGAGGAUCAAUUGGAGGGCAAGUCUGGUGCCAGCAGCCGCGGUAAUUCCAGCUCCAAUAGCGUAUAUUAAAUUUGUUGCAGUUGAAAAGCUCGUAGUUGGAUAUGAGGUACGAGACGGUGGUUCCGCGUUUGUGGUAACUGUCUGUUUUGUCCUUAAAUGGCUGUUAGCUAUUCGGCACGCUCUUAAUUGAGUGUUGUUGAGUACACAGCAAAUUUACUUUGAACAAAUUAAAGUGCUCAAAGCAAGCCCUUGUGGGUUGAAUAGUUUUGCAUGGAAUAAUGAAAUAGGACUUUGGUUCUAUUUGUUGAUUUUCGGUAUCAAAGUAAUGAUUAAAAGAGACAAACGGGGGCUUAUGUAUGGCUGAGUGAGAGGUGGAAUUCUAGGAUCUUAGCCAGACAGCCUACUGCGAAAGCAUUUGCCAAGGAUGCCUUCAUUAAUCAAGAACGAAAGUCAAAGGUUCGAAGACGAUCAGAUACCGUCCUAGUUUUGACUAUAAACGAUGCCGACCAACAAUCAAGUAUGGCUAUAAUAUAUUGGCCUAUUUGGCUGUCCCUGGGAAACCUUAAGUAUAGGUUCUGGGGGGAAUAUGGUCGCAAGGCAGAAACUUAAAGGAAUUGACGGAAGGGCACCACCAGGAGUGGAGCCUGCGGCUUAAUUUGACUCAACACGGGGAAACUUACCCGGCCCGGACACUGGGAGGAUAGACAGAUUGAGAGCUCUUACUUGAUUCAGUGGAUGGUGGUGCAUGGCCGUUCUUAGUUGGUGGAGUGAUUUGUCUGGUUAAUUCCGAUAACGAACGAGACUCUGAUCUGCUAACUAGUAUGCCAAUUUAGUCUGCUUAUGUAGACCUGUUGGUGUUGACUUCUUAGAGAAAUUGGCGACUUUCAGUCGCAAGAAAGAGAGCAAUAACAGGUCUGUGAUGCCCUUAGAUGUCCGGGGCCGCACGUGCGCUACAAUGGUAACUUCAGCGAGUAUUAAAACCUUAUCCGAAAGGAUUGGGAAAUCUUGGCAUAGUUAUCUCAUCAGGGAUUGAGAUUUGUAAUUAUUUCUCAUGAACGAGGAAUUCCUAGUAAGCACAAGUCAUCAGCUUGUGUUGAUUACGUCCCUGCCCUUUGUACACACCGCCCGUCGCUACUACCGAUUGAAUGUUUUAGUGAGGUCAUCAGAUCUAGUCAAAUAGUUGGCAACAAUUACUUGGCAAUGAGAAGUUGGUCGAACUGAGCAUAGAGAGAAAAGCGAU
This 1749-nucleotide ribosomal RNA is filed under the name Scutariella sp. n. LC-2017. RNAcentral describes it as "SSU rRNA". It matches the Rfam family "Eukaryotic small subunit ribosomal RNA". Lineage: Eukaryota; Metazoa; Platyhelminthes; Rhabdocoela; Temnocephalidae. The record is from RNAcentral.